This 544-nucleotide ribosomal RNA is filed under the name Neopestalotiopsis sp. 15 SSNM-2014. Its description in RNAcentral is "eukaryotic LSU rRNA". The stretch from base 184 to 337 matches the Rfam family "5.8S ribosomal RNA". Lineage: Eukaryota; Fungi; Ascomycota; Sordariomycetes; Amphisphaeriales; Sporocadaceae. The record is from RNAcentral.
UAACAAGGUCUCCGUUGGUGAACCAGCGGAGGGAUCAUUAUAGAGUUUUCUAAACUCCCAACCCAUGUGAACUUACCUUUUGUUGCCUCGGCAGAAGUUAUAGGUCUUCUUAUAGCUGCUGCCGGUGGACCAUUAAACUCUUGUUAUUUUAUGUAAUCUGAGCGUCUUAUUUUAAUAAGUCAAAACUUUCAACAACGGAUCUCUUGGUUCUGGCAUCGAUGAAGAACGCAGCGAAAUGCGAUAAGUAAUGUGAAUUGCAGAAUUCAGUGAAUCAUCGAAUCUUUGAACGCACAUUGCGCCCAUUAGUAUUCUAGUGGGCAUGCCUGUUCGAGCGUCAUUUCAACCCUUAAGCCUAGCUUAGUGUUGGGAAUCUACUUCUUUAUAGUUGUAGUUCCUGAAAUACAACGGCGGAUUUGUAGUAUCCUCUGAGCGUAGUAAUUUUUUUCUCGCUUUUGUUAGGUGCUAUAACUCCCAGCCGCUAAACCCCCAAUUUUUUGUGGUUGACCUCGGAUCAGGUAGGAAUACCCGCUGAACUUAAGCAUAU